CUCCUACGGGAGGCAGCAGUGAGGAAUUUUGCGCGAUGGGGGAAACCCUGACGCAGCAACGCCGCGUGAGUGAAGAAGGCCUUCGGGUCGUAAAGCUCUGUCAAGUGGGAAGAACCCUUUCGGUGUUAACAGCACCGGGAGCUGACGGUACCACUGAAGGAAGCACCGGCUAACUCCGUGCCAGCAGCCGCGGUAAUACGGAGGGUGCAAGCGUUAUUCGGAAUUACUGGGCGUAAAGGGCGCGCAGGCGGCCUGUUAAGUCAGUUGUGAAAGCCCGGGGCUCAACCCCGGAAGUGCGACUGGAACUGGCAGGCUUGAGUAUGGGAGAGGGAAGUGGAAUUCCUGGUGUAGCGGUGAAAUGCGUAGAUAUCAGGAGGAACACCAGUGGCGAAGGCGACUUCCUGGACCAAUACUGACGCUGAGGCGCGAAGGCGUGGGUAGCAAACAGGAUUAGAUACCCUGGUAGUCCACGCAGUAAACGGUGAUCACUAGGUGUUGCGGGCUUUGAUGUCUGCAGUGCCGAAGCAAACGCAUUAAGUGAUCCGCCUGGGGAGUACGGCCGCAAGGUUAAAACUCAAAGGAAUUGACGG
This 590-nucleotide ribosomal RNA is filed under the name uncultured bacterium. RNAcentral describes it as "bacterial SSU rRNA". It matches the Rfam family "Bacterial small subunit ribosomal RNA", at positions 336 to 916 of the family's 1533-position model. The record is from RNAcentral.